GUGAGGAAUAUUGCGCAAUGGAGGCAACUCUGACGCAGCCAUGCCGCGUGCAGGAAGAAGGCGCUACGCGUUGUAAACUGCUUUUAACCGGGAAGAAACCCCAGGACGUGUCCUGGGUUGACGGUACCGGAGGAAUAAGCACCGGCUAACUUCGUGCCAGCAGCCGCGGUAAUACGAAGGGUGCAAGCGUUAUCCGGAUUCAUUGGGUUUAAAGGGUGCGUAGGCGGAGCGUUAAGUCAGUGGUGAACUCCUGCAGCUUAACUGUAGACUUGCCAUUGAUACUGGCGCUCUUGAGUGCGCUUGAAGUGGGCGGAAUGUGCCGUGUAGCGGUGAAAUGCUUAGAUAUGGCACAGAACACCAAUUGCGAAGGCAGCUCACUAAGGCGAUACUGACGCUGAGGCACGAAAGCGUGGGGAUCGAACAGGAUUAGAAACCCGGGUAGUCC
RNAcentral lists this ribosomal RNA (445 nucleotides) under uncultured bacterium. RNAcentral describes it as "partial 16S ribosomal RNA". It matches the Rfam family "Bacterial small subunit ribosomal RNA", at positions 354 to 796 of the family's 1533-position model. The record is from RNAcentral.